CUACGGGCCGCAGCAGUGGGGAAUAUUGCACAAUGGAGGAAACUCUGAUGCAGCAACGCCGCGUGGAGGAUGACACUUUUCGGAGCGUAAACUCCUUUUAUAUAGGAAGAAGAUGACGGUACUAUAUGAAUAAGCGCCGGCUAACUCCGUGCCAGCAGCCGCGGUAAUACGGAGGGCGCAAGCGUUACUCGGAAUCACUGGGCGUAAAGAGCGUGUAGGCGGAUUAAAAAGUCAGAAGUGAAAUCCUAUAGCUUAACUAUAGAACUGCUUCUGAAACUCUUAAUCUAGAAUAUGGGAGAGGUAGAUGGAAUUUCUGGUGUAGGGGUAAAAUCCGUAGAGAUCAGAAGGAAUACCGAUUGCGAAGGCGAUCUACUAGAACAUUAUUGACGCUGAGACGCGAAAGCGUGGGGAGCAAACAGGAUUAGAUACCCGGGUAGUC
RNAcentral lists this ribosomal RNA (439 nucleotides) under uncultured bacterium. RNAcentral's name for it is "partial 16S ribosomal RNA". It matches the Rfam family "Bacterial small subunit ribosomal RNA", at positions 339 to 795 of the family's 1533-position model. The record is from RNAcentral.